AUUGAACGCUGGCGGCAGGCCUAACACAUGCAAGUCGAACGAGUGGCGGACGGGUGAGUAAUGUCUGGGAAACUGCCCGAUGGAGGGGGAUAACUACUGGAAACGGUAGCUAAUACCGCAUACCAUCGGAUGUGCCCAGAUGGGAUUAGCUUGUAGGUGAGGUAACGGCUCACCUAGGCGACGAUCCCUAGCUGGUCUGAGAGGAGGACCAGCCACACGGGAACGUAGACACGGUCCAGACGUCUACGGUAGGCAGCAGGGGGGAAUAUGGCACAAUGGGCGCAAGCCUGAUGCAGGCAUGCCGGGUGUAUGAAGAAGGCCUUCGGGUUGGAAAGUACUUUCAGCGGGGAGGCGUUACCCGCAGAAGAAGCACAGGCUAACUCCGUGCCAGCAGCCGCGGUAAGAC
Molecule: ribosomal RNA, 406 nt
Filed under: uncultured bacterium
Lineage: Bacteria
Description: partial 16S ribosomal RNA
Rfam family: Bacterial small subunit ribosomal RNA
Source: RNAcentral